UAGUCUUUUUAUUGGAGAAUAGAAUGAAUGGUCUCACCGAUAAAAUAUUUUUCACUAUAAAAUUGAAUUUCUUUCUCAAUGAAAAAAUUGAGAUAUUAUUUUUAGACGAUAAGACCCUAUGAAGCUUUACUAAAAUUUAGUUUUUUUGGGGCAAAAUGAAAUUUAGGUAUUUCUUCAUUGUGAAAAUUUGAUCUUAAAAAAUUUUAAGAAAAAGCUACUCUAGGGAUAACAGCAUAAUUUUUAUAAAAGCCCUUAUUAAAAUAAAAGAUUGUGACCUCGAUGUUGAAUUAAGGAUUUUAUUUUGUGCAGCAGCUAAAUAAAAAUAGUCUGUUCGACUAUAAUCCCUUA
RNAcentral lists this ribosomal RNA (348 nucleotides) under Skistodiaptomus pallidus. Its description in RNAcentral is "partial 16S ribosomal RNA". The stretch from base 105 to 348 matches the Rfam family "Archaeal large subunit ribosomal RNA", at positions 2156 to 2666 of the family's 2987-position model. The record is from RNAcentral. Lineage: Eukaryota; Metazoa; Arthropoda; Copepoda; Calanoida; Diaptomidae.